UAUUGAAUUGCCAGAAGUUGUCUUAACCUUAUCAUUUAGAGGAAGGUGAAGUCGUAACAAGGUUUCCGUAGGUGAACCUGCGGAAGGAUCA
Molecule: ribosomal RNA, 91 nt
Filed under: Pseudo-nitzschia delicatissima
Lineage: Eukaryota; Bacillariophyta; Bacillariophyceae; Bacillariales; Bacillariaceae
Description: partial 18S ribosomal RNA
Rfam family: Eukaryotic small subunit ribosomal RNA
Source: RNAcentral